RNAcentral lists this ribosomal RNA (490 nucleotides) under Pichia kudriavzevii. RNAcentral describes it as "LSU rRNA". It matches the Rfam family "Eukaryotic large subunit ribosomal RNA", at positions 61 to 562 of the family's 3401-position model. The record is from RNAcentral. Lineage: Eukaryota; Fungi; Ascomycota; Pichiomycetes; Pichiales; Pichiaceae.
GAAACCAACAGGGAUUGCCUCAGUAGCGGCGAGUGAAGCGGCAAGAGCUCAGAUUUGAAAUCGUGCUUUGCGGCACGAGUUGUAGAUUGCAGGUUGGAGUCUGUGUGGAAGGCGGUGUCCAAGUCCCUUGGAACAGGGCGCCCAGGAGGGUGAGAGCCCCGUGGGAUGCCGGCGGAAGCAGUGAGGCCCUUCUGACGAGUCGAGUUGUUUGGGAAUGCAGCUCCAAGCGGGUGGUAAAUUCCAUCUAAGGCUAAAUACUGGCGAGAGACCGAUAGCGAACAAGUACUGUGAAGGAAAGAUGAAAAGCACUUUGAAAAGAGAGUGAAACAGCACGUGAAAUUGUUGAAAGGGAAGGGUAUUGCGCCCGACAUGGGGAUUGCGCACCGCUGCCUCUCGUGGGCGGCGCUCUGGGCUUUCCCUGGGCCAGCAUCGGUUCUUGCUGCAGGAGAAGGGGUUCUGGAACGUGGCUCUUCGGAGUGUUAUAGCCAGG